This 547-nucleotide long non-coding RNA is filed under the name Cyanistes caeruleus (blue tit). RNAcentral describes it as "lncRNA (ENSCCEG00000015405.1)". The record is from RNAcentral. Lineage: Eukaryota; Metazoa; Chordata; Aves; Passeriformes; Paridae.
CUACCUAAAUUUUAUUAUUUAUUUAUUUAUUUAUUUUCUUUUAUUGGUAGCAUUCUCUCAUUCAUCAGAGCCUGCAUCCCCUGGAACCAAAAGCUGUUUCAGCUGGGGCACAGAAGAUACUGCCUCUGUAUUAUAAAACCCAUCAUUUCAGUUUACUCAUGACCUCCUGAUACAAGGCUAGACAUGAUCAGAAAAGGAAUAGAGAUCAAACAUUAUUACGUCCCUACAUAAAUCUACGCAGUUCUGAUCACACUAUCUCAAACAGGAUGCUCAGGAAAGGGCAAGGAUGAUAGAUGUUGUGGAUUAUAUGUCAUGAGAGCAAGUCACAUUCUCCAGUCUGUGAGGAGACAGUGAAGGCCUGCCAUGGAGGUCUGCUGUGAAUAGCAUGGAGAAGAGUACUCCAAAGAAUUUUUACCCUUCCUUCGUCACCACUCUGCUUGGAUGCCUUUGUAGUGAUGGGAGAAAACAUCUAUGUGAUGCCAAAGGUGAAGUUCCAUGUCUUGUCCAAGUUUACAAACAACUUAUAUCUAUUUAGUGGGUGAGAUCC